RNAcentral lists this ribosomal RNA (396 nucleotides) under uncultured bacterium. Its description in RNAcentral is "partial 16S ribosomal RNA". It matches the Rfam family "Bacterial small subunit ribosomal RNA", at positions 523 to 918 of the family's 1533-position model. The record is from RNAcentral.
AUACGUAGGGUGCAAGCGUUAAUCGGAAUUACUGGGCGUAAAGCGCACGCAGGCGGUCAAUUAAGUCAGAUGUGAAAGCCCCGAGCUUAACUUGGGAAUUGCAUCUGAAACUGGUUGGCUAGAGUCUUGUAGAGGGGGGUAGAAUUCCACGUGUAGCGGUGAAAUGCGUAGAGAUGUGGAGGAAUACCGGUGGCGAAGGCGGCCCCCGGGACAAAGACUGACGCUCAGGUGCGAAGGCGUGGGGAGCAAACAGGAUUUGAUACCCUGGUAGUCCACGCUGUAAACGAUGUCGAUUUAGAGGUUGUGGUCUUGAACUGUGGCUUCUGGAGCUAACGCGUUAAAUCGACCGCCUGGGGAGUACGGCCGCAAGGUUAAAACUCAAAUGAAUUGACGGGG